AAGGUUAGCUAAUCCUGGUCGGACAUCAGGAGGUUAGUGCAAUGGCAUAAGCUAGCUUGACUGCGAGCGUGACGGCGCGAGCAGGUGCGAAAGCAGGUCAUAGUGAUCCGGUGGUUCUGAAUGGAAGGGCCAUCGCUCAACGGAUAAAAGGUACUCCGGGGAUAACAGGCUGAUACCGCCCAAGAGUUCAUAUCGACGGCGGUGUUUGGCACCUCGAUGUCGGCUCAUCACAUCCUGGGGCUGAAGUAGGUCCCAAGGGUAUGGCUGUUCGCCAUUUAAAGUGGUACGCGAGCUGGGUUUAGAACGUCGUGAGACAG
RNAcentral lists this ribosomal RNA (317 nucleotides) under Klebsiella pneumoniae. RNAcentral describes it as "partial 23S ribosomal RNA". It matches the Rfam family "Bacterial large subunit ribosomal RNA", at positions 2313 to 2629 of the family's 2925-position model. The record is from RNAcentral. Lineage: Bacteria; Pseudomonadati; Pseudomonadota; Gammaproteobacteria; Enterobacterales; Enterobacteriaceae.